CUGGCUGUGUCAAUCAGCUCUGACCAAAGACAGAAACAUGCAUUACUACAUGAAGAGGUUUGACCAAACUACAGUCAGACUAAAUGGACUCUACUGGAGGCUGAAGAGUGGAGACUAAUAAUUCAAGUCAGUUGGUGCUGCUGUGAAACACCUACCUGAGCUACAGAGACACAGCAGCAGCAGCAGCUGCAGCUUCUUCCCCUCCAUCUGGAUUUCGUCUGAAGCUGCCUCUCACCUCUCAUCUUUAUUUGCUCUUUAUCAAAGCUGGAAUCAAGUCCAACCUCUAGGGCGGCCACACUGACGAUGAUUU
This is a long non-coding RNA of Cynoglossus semilaevis (tongue sole), 310 nucleotides long. RefSeq lists it as uncharacterized. The transcript is spliced from 2 exons. NCBI's taxonomy places the organism in Eukaryota, Metazoa, Chordata, Actinopteri, Pleuronectiformes, Cynoglossidae. The record is from RefSeq and is a predicted model, not a curated record.